This is a long non-coding RNA of Arachis stenosperma, 1066 nucleotides long. RefSeq lists it as uncharacterized. The record is from RefSeq and is a predicted model, not a curated record. NCBI's taxonomy places the organism in Eukaryota, Viridiplantae, Streptophyta, Magnoliopsida, Fabales, Fabaceae. The transcript has 3 exons.
AAAGUUUAAUUGAUUAUUUGAUUAUUGAUUAAUUCUGCUGCUUUACUUAGUUGUUGUUAUUUUUUUUUCUAGCGCUCUCUGUUUGGGCUCUUUCUUGUGGUUCUCUCCUUUGUCGUCGUCACUUGCUUCUUCCUUCUCUGUUCGAGCUCUGCUUUGUUAAUAAUGAACGAGCUAAAAGAGAUACAAGAAUCCUCUUGAGUCAUUGAUAUCAUUAUCUGCAAUAAAUGAGCAACUGAAAGCAGUGUCACUGACUAGUGACUACUGUUAAUUUCUCUGUUCUUUUUUGAUAUGAUGUUUGAAGAAAAAAGGAGUGGAUGCAAAAUGAAAGACAAUGAAAUACUAAAACUAGGAGAAGAUUUGAAGGUAAAAGAGAAAACAUGCAGAAAUAAGAAAGUCGAGGUAUUAUUCUUCUUUAAUUACUUAUAUUAAAAGAAUCUUAUUUGCUUGCUAUAACUUCACGAUUAUUUAAUAUUAAGAAAUGGUAGCUCUUAUUUGUUAUUCAGAUUAAGGAGUUGGAGAGAAAAUUAAAAGAAUAAGAGUUAGUUGCAGUUAUUGAGAAGAGCUAUUUAUGUAUAAUGACUAUUUUUUAAUAUAUAAAUAAUAUUUUUGUGCAAUAUUUUUGUAUGCCUAUUAUAUGUGCACUCUUUUGUAAUAAAUUUUGUGUAUUUUUUAUGUAUUUUUUAUGUACUUUUCUAAUUUUAUUGCUAUGUGAUUGUUGAAUUCUUAAAGAAUCUUCUUCUUUUAGCUAAUUUUUUAAUAAAUGAUAAAACCACGAUUAAGUGAUUAAUUAAAGUUUAAAAAUAAAGCUGCUGGCAUAAACACAACGGGGUGGUGGCGCAGUUGGCUAGCGCGUAGGUCUCAUAGUUUAAGAGUAAUCCUGAGGUCGAGAGUUCGAGCCUCUCUCACCCCAUUUUUCUUUUCUCAAAUAAAUUAUCGUACUCUUUUAAUUUUAUUUUUUAUAUAUUUUUUACCUACUUUUUUAAUUUUAUUAUUGUAUGAUAAUAUAAUGAUGAUGAUUAAACUUUUUUUAUAUAGUAUAUAAACUUAAUAAUAAUAAUUAGCAAUU